Long non-coding RNA from Macrobrachium nipponense, 281 nucleotides. RefSeq lists it as uncharacterized. The record is from RefSeq and is a predicted model, not a curated record. The transcript is spliced from 3 exons. NCBI's taxonomy places the organism in Eukaryota, Metazoa, Arthropoda, Malacostraca, Decapoda, Palaemonidae.
UGUCAUCAUGGUAUCUAAGCCCGUCUCCUCCCUCCUCGUGGGCGCGUUCCUCCUCGUGGGCAUGACUUCAGGCGCCCCUCAGUACAACUACGACAUCCCUCAGUCGCCCUCCACCCUGUACGAGACUCCCGCCGAAUCCGUGCAAGAGCCCGUGCAGCUGUACGAAGAACCCGAGGAGACCGUGCAGGAGCCCGUGCAGCUGUACGAGGCUCCUUCCAACAACAUCCUGGUGGCUGAACCACAGAACAUCGUUCCGAAUAUUGUCAGUCCUCCAAAUCCCC